AUAUUACUAAGCGGAGGAGAAGAAAUUAACUAAGAUUGCCUUAGUAAGGGCGACUGAACCGGCAAAAGCUCAAAAUUAAAAUCGGUGAAUCAAUGAUUUUCCGAAUUGUAAUCAGGGUUGCCUAAAUACGGAAGGCUUCUCAAGAGUCUCGAAAGGCUCGCCGAAGAGGGUGAAAGCCCCGUGCAGGGGUCUUCCGAACAAGGUAGCUCAAACAAGAGUCGUGUUGCUUGGAACUGCAGCACUAAGUGGGAGAUAUGAUUCUUCCAAAGCUAAAUAUGGAUGGGAGACCGAUAGCGCACAAGUA
Molecule: ribosomal RNA, 304 nt
Filed under: uncultured eukaryote
Lineage: Eukaryota
Description: partial large subunit ribosomal RNA
Rfam family: Eukaryotic large subunit ribosomal RNA
Source: RNAcentral